GUGAUUCUGUCGAGACGGGCUGAUCCGCCUUUAAAGUUGGAUUGCAGCGUUAAAACUUUGCAGAUGUUGACAUCGUCACAGUGUCAAACCCUUUCAUCCUCUUCAGGCAAUUUCAAAAUAAAGCUUCUAGCAGUCAAAUCCUCGCACCCAACCUCCCCUCGUCAUGUCUCCUAAUUAGUCUCUCCUCUAAACACCACAGACUCUAAUUCAAGCUCCGAAAGGUUUCCUCAGUGCCUGUUACCCGUCGUACAGCUUCCGGGUUCAUGUCCGCUGUCUCCGCCCACCAGAGUGACGUCACCAUCCCCCGGGGCAACGUGACUCCUGUAUGUCCAGCGUCCUCCACUACCGUGUCCUUUUCCGUCCAGGAGCAUCCAUGUGCCCUGACUUCUGUAGCCACACACGGGCAGUCCGUCACCUCCUUCGAGUCCUCUCCAUCUUUUCCACUCUGCUGGCACCGAAACCAGAAGCUGCACAGAGGCAUCGGUACAAGUGUCCCCGUCCUGGCAACCCCAGCCUCACUGACAAGAAUGCAUCUAUUCUCUGGCUCCACUCCACCAAGAGUGGAUGAGUAAGAGCGGCCUGCAGAAACAGCUGUUUAGGGAGUGAUCAAAAGAGGGUGAGAGGCUUCUUUGAUUACUCUCUCUUUGUUCACCUUCCUCUCAAACUUUUCUAUUCACUGAGGCCUGUGAGUGGGCAGCAAGCCAAGGGAAUUCACAAGGCUUUACUUGUAUCUAGUUGUAUUUCAAAUCCAUAUGCUGCAGCAAAGUUGCCACCAAGAUUCAUUAAAAUUAUAAUAUUUGCA
Molecule: long non-coding RNA, 802 nt
Organism: Amphiprion ocellaris (clown anemonefish)
Lineage: Eukaryota; Metazoa; Chordata; Actinopteri; Pomacentridae
Source: Ensembl